This is a long non-coding RNA of Pipistrellus kuhlii (Kuhl's pipistrelle), 149 nucleotides long. RefSeq lists it as uncharacterized. The transcript is spliced from 3 exons. The record is from RefSeq and is a predicted model, not a curated record. NCBI's taxonomy places the organism in Eukaryota, Metazoa, Chordata, Mammalia, Chiroptera, Vespertilionidae.
CUCUUCAGAUCUUGAAGAUGCGUGUCAAACCAAAAACAACUUGCAAAAAGAUUAAACGUUGCUCAGCAAACAAUUUCCAAUUUACAAGCAAUGGGAAAGAUUUUAAAAGAAAGAAAAUGGGUGCCACAUCAACUGAAUGAAAGACAAAU